Molecule: ribosomal RNA, 354 nt
Filed under: Theileria sp.
Lineage: Eukaryota; Apicomplexa; Aconoidasida; Piroplasmida; Theileriidae
Description: SSU rRNA
Rfam family: Eukaryotic small subunit ribosomal RNA
Source: RNAcentral
CUCUUUCUUGAUUCUUUGGGUGGUGGUGCAUGGCCGUUCUUAAUUGGAGGAGUGAUUUGUCGGGUUAAUUCCGUUAACGAACGAGACCUUAACCUGCUAAAUAGGGUACGGGAAUAAGCUUAGGCUGUCCCGUGAUCGCUUCUUAGAGGGACUUUGCGGUUAUAAAUCGCAAGGAAGUUUAAGGCAAUAACAGGUCUGUGAUGCCCUUAGAUGUCCUGGGCUGCACGCGCGCUACACUGAUGCGUUCAUCGAGUUUAUCCUUGGCCGAGAGGCCUGGGUAAUCUUUAGUACGCAUCGUGAUGGGGAUCGAUUAUUGCAAUUAUUAAUCGUGAACGAGGAAUGCCUAGUAUGCGC